This 456-nucleotide ribosomal RNA is filed under the name uncultured bacterium. Its description in RNAcentral is "bacterial SSU rRNA". It matches the Rfam family "Bacterial small subunit ribosomal RNA", at positions 28 to 507 of the family's 1533-position model. The record is from RNAcentral.
GAUGAACGCUAGCGGUGUGCCUAAUGCAUGCAAGUCGAACGGGAUCCUUUGGAUUCGUCUGAAGGUGAGAGUGGCGAACGGGUGAGUAACACGUAGGUGACCUGCCCCGGAGAGGGGGACAACCACUGGAAACGGUGGCUAAUACCCCAGAUGUUAUUGCGCUUAGAAAGCAAUUACUAAAGUUCCGGCGCUCCGGGAGGGGCCUGCGGCCCAUCAGCUUGUUGGUAAGGUAAUGGCUUACCAAGGCUAAGACGGGUAGGGGGCGUGAGAGCGUGACCCCCCCACACUGGUACUGAGACACGGACCAGAUACCUGCGGGUAGCAGCAGCAAGGAAUAUUGCCCAAUGGACGAAAGUCUGAGGCAGCAACACCGCGUGGAGGAUGAAGGCCUGGUGUAACUCUUUCUGGGGAGAGAAAGGACGGUACCCACGGAAUAAGUACUCGGCUAACUACGUG